CCAGAGGCGAUGCAGUGGUAGAAUUCCUGCCUUCCAUGCAGGAGACCCAGGUUCACCUGGCCACUGAA
RNAcentral lists this transfer RNA (68 nucleotides) under Loxodonta africana (African savanna elephant). It matches the Rfam family "tRNA". From Rfam's summary of the family: Transfer RNA (tRNA) molecules are approximately 80 nucleotides in length. Their secondary structure includes four short double-helical elements and three loops (D, anti-codon, and T loops). Further hydrogen bonds mediate the characteristic L-shaped molecular structure. tRNAs have two regions of fundamental functional importance: the anti-codon, which is responsible for specific mRNA codon recognition, and the 3' end, to which the tRNAs corresponding amino acid is attached (by aminoacyl-tRNA synthetases). tRNAs cope with the degeneracy of the genetic code in two manners: having more than one tRNA (with a specific anti-codon) for a particular amino acid; and 'wobble' base-pairing, i.e. permitting non-standard base-pairing at the 3rd anti-codon position. The record is from Rfam by way of RNAcentral. Lineage: Eukaryota; Metazoa; Chordata; Mammalia; Proboscidea; Elephantidae.